Molecule: long non-coding RNA, 1161 nt
Filed under: Parus major (Great Tit)
Lineage: Eukaryota; Metazoa; Chordata; Aves; Passeriformes; Paridae
Description: lncRNA (ENSPMJG00000017202.1)
Source: RNAcentral
GAGGAAGGCGAGGUCUCGCUCGGGCAGAGAGAGCAGCCAGGCUCGCUGCCCGUCCGAGCGCUGUGCCCAGGGCACCCCUGCCCCGUGUCCCCCUCGCACUCAGCUGCAGCACUUCCCACCUCACUGGCAAGGACACAGCACCCCUGCAGACUCGUAGUUGCCGUGCUGGGCUCUCGUAGCAGGCUGCCGGGUGACACAGCUGUGCUCGGAAGAGCUCUGUGCAGAGGAGCCGUGCUCCGGCAGCCGCUCACGGUGCGCCACACGAGGCGGCUCCGUGAAGGGACGGCGGGCCCGGCCCAGCCCGGCCCAGCCCGGCAGGAGCACCGCGCCCGCCCGGGGCAGGCCCCGCAGGGCUGCUCUGCGCUCCCUCGGAGCUCUGCCCGCAAAGGCAGCGCCCCAGCCCUGCUAUUCACGGGAAAAACCCGCCUAGGUGGGCUCUGGUUCGGGGGAACGCCCGCCUGCUGGCACCCUCCCGCAGGGGUGUCCCAACGCCAGCUCACCCUUGGCCUUCAGAAAGGCUCAGAAAUGGCCGGUUUGGGCUGUGCAAUAGAUGAAUUGUGUCCAAAGCAAGAUGUGACCUGGCCUGGCAGAGCAGCAGCUGUGGGGACACUGAUGUGGCUUUCAGCAUGCCAGGACCAGGUGAGGAAGGACCUUGCAGACUUGCACGUCCCACUGCGUUCAAGCUGUUAUUUGAGCACUCAGAAGAAAAUGCAUUCAAGUUCAGCAUCAAUCUUAAACCUCCUGCUGAGCCUCAGGCAAUGGGAUAAGCCAAGUAAAGCAUAGGGAUAAUUAAAAUGCAUAAAGGUCUGAAUGUCUCAACUUUGAGAAGAAUUAAAGGGGAGAAAUGAAAAUCGAGAAAAAAUAUAAGUUUGCUUCUUAAAUUUACUGUUUACCUCUUACUUUACCAUUUAAAUAGAGAAGCCACUGAGAGAAAGCCAAUAUGGGAUCAAAUUUAGACAUGAAACCCAUUCAGAUGUACAGAAGGAAAAUGAUCGGAAGUGUGUCAGCAAAGCAAAAUCAGCACACAAAAAUCUUCUUGUUAAUUUUUAAAUCCACUGAAAUAUUUUUUUUUACCUCCUUAAGUUGUACAGCCAUAUUCAGAAGAGAUUCAUGCUCUUUUGUACCUCAUUGAAGAAUAAAACAUAUCAAAGUCAGAAAUCA